AAAAGCAAAAUAAUAAUCCAUCAAGAAAAAAGGAAAGAAAAGACAAGACAGAAACAUAGAAAACACUAAUUUUACACCUCUACAUUCAUCUCUUCAUUUUUCCACUAAAAAGAAAUUGACAAAUUAUCAAACCCAACUUCGAAUUUCCAAAAUAAUAUUACCUUUUCCAAAUUGUAGGAGCAGAUUACAAAAGAAAUAGAGAAUUGCGGGCUCAUCUAUCCUUUCUUGACAAUACCAUAAAUUUGGAUCUUCACAAAAUUUGAAGAAAAAUUUGGAGCUGAUUGAAGAAAAUUUAGCGGUAAGAUUGGUUUUUCUUGUGAUUCUAAAGAGUGAAGAUGAAAGGGCAAGGAAGCUAUGUGCCACCUCCAUAUAUAGCCUUAGGGCAGUCUGAUCAAGAAUUUGAAGCUGCAAUUACAGAGAACAAUGCUGUACAAGCUCCGGCUUCUUCGAGCGAUGGCGGUGCGGGUGCCGUGCAAUGGUCCUCUGGAAUUUGUGCUUGUUGCGACGAUACGCCGAGCUGUAUGCUACUAUAUAUAUCUGACUACUUGUGACUGACCCAUUGAUUUUAUCAGAAGGAUGAAUUUUGUCAAAAGGUUGUAUAGGUCUCUUUUGCCCCUGCUACCUCUUUGCUAAGAAUGCCGAGUUUCUGGGUUCUGGAACCCUUAUAGGACCUUGUAUGAUUCAUCUUUUGCUGUGGGGCCUCAUCAAUGGUGUUUGCUGCUUUCUAGCAGAUUGUCCACUUUUGGGGUUGCCUAGCUGCUUCAUUUCAUGUUACGCUUGUAAUUAUCGAAAGAUGCUUCGUACUAAGUACAAUCUGCCGGUAUGUCCUUUCUGUUUUGUGUGCUUUUUGGGCUGAUAUAUCCUUUCAAUAGACAACGUCAUUCAUACUGAUGACUAAAAGUGAAUAGUCAAACUCAAAAUUAGUUCUAACUUUAUACUCAUUCAUUGUGGUCACUAGUUGGGCAAUUGGCAACACAAUUAUCAGGGGCUUAUGCUCUUUUUUGUCUUCAUCAUGAAUUGUACAUUAUGGAAUCUAUUUAGUAUUCUUAUAACAAACAUGAUUUUUCCCGAUACAAUCAGGAUUAGAAGUUAGAACCAGCUUUCUCCAUGUAAUAAAAUGUUUUGGAAUAAUUUCUCCUUUGUUACAAUGAACUAGAGCAAAGAGAAGGCCCGAAAAAUGUUUUGGGUAAAGCUUUUAGGAAAAAUUGGAUUGGUGAAAGGAUAAGGGGAGGGGGAGAGCUUCUAAAUGUCUAUUUUGUUGCCAAGGGAUUCAUCACAAUUUUGCCUGCCUGUUUCCAAUAUGAUUGUGACAAACUUUGCAUCAGAGAGCUGCGAUUGCACUCUUUCCUCGAUUGUUGUGUUCACUUUCUACCACAUCAUUAUGUUGUGCUGCCUUUGGAAGUAGCUUUACAAGUUUGUUACCACAACUUUGAAAACAUUCUUCAAAUGACCCUUUCUUAUAACUAGUUACCACUCACCAUCAUAUAUAUAUAUAUAUAUAUAUAUAUAUAUAUAUAUGAGAAGAUCACAUGAGAAUGCUCCUUACAUGAGAAAUGAGAAUGAAUCUCAACCACACGAUUGGAUUAGAGUUAAAAAAAAAAUUCGAAUUUUUUUUUCUUCUUCUAAUAUUCAUUUUUUAGAGUUAUAUCACUUUUUCAGUAGAGUUACAUCACUUAUUCAUUAGAGUUAUAUCGCGUAAAAUUCGUUUUCAUUUCACAUGUAAGUA
Molecule: RNA transcript, 1726 nt
Organism: Beta vulgaris subsp. vulgaris (sugar beet)
Lineage: Eukaryota; Viridiplantae; Streptophyta; Magnoliopsida; Caryophyllales; Amaranthaceae
Gene name: protein PLANT CADMIUM RESISTANCE 10
Exons: 3
Source: RefSeq, a predicted model, not a curated record